CCGCGAGACCUUCCCUGUUCUCGUCCUGACAACACGUUUAUUUUCUUUAGGAACAAAAGUGUGUCUUGCGGCUCCUCCGGGCCCCUGAGAGCCCAGUGACCUCUGAGGCGGCUUCAAAGAGAGCGGCAGGGGGGCGGAGUCAGACUCGACGCAUCACAAUGACACCCCACCCACUCUCUGCCCUCACUUUCCUCAACUUUUCUGCAAAGAUUUGGACUCUUCUUCAGGAUAAAAGCGGCGGAUGGUGAAUCUGCAGUUUGGGCUGUAAUUUAUGAGGCCGCAGCAGCACGAAUGAAAUGAAGCUUUUACAACAGACGCCUGCUGACACACUUUUAGC
RNAcentral lists this long non-coding RNA (337 nucleotides) under Danio rerio (zebrafish). RNAcentral describes it as "lncRNA (ENSDARG00000117440.1)". The record is from RNAcentral. Lineage: Eukaryota; Metazoa; Chordata; Actinopteri; Cypriniformes; Danionidae.